RNAcentral lists this ribosomal RNA (561 nucleotides) under uncultured Roseateles sp. RNAcentral describes it as "bacterial SSU rRNA". It matches the Rfam family "Bacterial small subunit ribosomal RNA", at positions 200 to 756 of the family's 1533-position model. Lineage: Bacteria; Pseudomonadati; Pseudomonadota; Betaproteobacteria; Burkholderiales; Sphaerotilaceae. The record is from RNAcentral.
UCGCAAGACCUCGCGCGAUUGGAGCGGCCGAUAUCAGAUUAGGUAGUUGGUGAGGUAAAGGCUCACCAAGCCGACGAUCUGUAGCUGGUCUGAGAGGACGACCAGCCACACUGGGACUGAGACACGGCCCAGACUCCUACGGGAGGCAGCAGUGGGGAAUUUUGGACAAUGGGCGCAAGCCUGAUCCAGCCAUGCCGCGUGCGGGAAGAAGGCCUUCGGGUUGUAAACCGCUUUUGUCAGGGAAGAAAAGGUUCUGGCUAAUACCUGGGACUCAUGACGGUACCUAAAGAAUAAGCACCGGCUAACUACGUGCCAGCAGCCGCGGUAAUACGUAGGGUGCAAGCGUUAAUCGGAAUUACUGGGCGUAAAGCGUGCGCAGGCGGUUAUGCAAGACAGAGGUGAAAUCCCCGGGCUCAACCUGGGAACUGCCUUUGUGACUGCAUGGCUAGAGUACGGUAGAGGGGGAUGGAAUUCCGCGUGUAGCAGUGAAAUGCGUAGAUAUGCGGAGGAACACCGAUGGCGAAGGCAAUCCCCUGGACCUGUACUGACGCUCAUGCACGA